Molecule: long non-coding RNA, 669 nt
Organism: Bubalus bubalis (water buffalo)
Lineage: Eukaryota; Metazoa; Chordata; Mammalia; Artiodactyla; Bovidae
Exons: 3
Source: RefSeq, a predicted model, not a curated record
CUUGCCGCAGAGCACAGGGUUUAGGCGCAUGGGCUUCAGUAGUCACAGCAUGUGAGCUCAGUAGUUACGGCUCUCAGACUCGGGCCCAAUACCUGAGACUUGAUCUGUCCCUUCUCUCCUUCUUCAAACGCUGCUAGCCCUUCAGGACAAGAGAGCUGGCUGCAGAGUUAGCUGUAAUAGAUCUGAGGUUUCUUCACUUCUCUACAUGGGGCCAUCUGAGGUUACAAGGAGCUACAGAUUCCCAGUCUCUUGCUACUCAAAGUGUGAUUGGCAGACCAGCAGCAGCAGUGUCAACAAGGAGCUUGUAAGAAAUGCAAAAAUCUUGGCGUCUUCUCCAGAAUCACAAACUCUGAGGAUUGGGCCCUCCAGAGGAUUCCUGAUGCCCUCUAAAGUUUGAGUAGGGACUUCUCUGGUGGUCCAGUGGUUAAGAAUUUGCCUUCCAAUGCAGGUGGUUGAAUCCUUGGUCUGGGAACUAAGAUCCUGCAAGAUGCUCAAUGCAGCCAAAUAAAUAAAUAACUGAAUAAAAAUAAAUGUACCAUCUUAACCCUUUUAAAAAAAAAAAUAAAGUUUGAGUAGUACUACUCUGGUCUAAGCCUUUGUGAUCUCUGGUCCAAGCCACCUCCAUAGCCUCCCAUACUUACUGGUCUCCCAUACUGGUCUCCAUACUUA